GAUGAACGCUGGCGGCGUGCCUAAUACAUGCAAGUCGAACGAAACUUCUUUAUCACCGAGUGCUUGCACUCACCGAUAAAGAGUUGAGUGGCGAACGGGUGAGUAACACGUGGGCAACCUGCCCAAAAGAGGGGGAUAACACUUGGAAACAGGUGCUAAUACCGCAUAACCAUAGUUACCACAUGGUAACUAUGUAAAAGGUGGCUAUACUACCGCUUUUGGAUGGGCCCGCGGCGCAUUAGCUAGUUGGUAGGGUAAAGGCUUACCAAGGCAAUGAUGCGUAGCCGAAUUGAGAGGUUGAUCGGCCACAUUGGGACUGAGACACGGCCCAAACUCCUACGGGAGGCAGCAGUAGGGAAUCUUCCACAAUGGGCGAAAGCCUGAUGGAGCAACGCCGCGUGGGUGAAGAAGGUCUUCGGAUCGUAAAACCCUGUUGUUAGAGAAGAAAGUGCGUGAGAGUAACUGUUCACGUUUCGACGGUAUCUAACCAGAAAGCCACUGCUAACUACGUG
This 512-nucleotide ribosomal RNA is filed under the name uncultured bacterium. Its description in RNAcentral is "partial 16S ribosomal RNA". It matches the Rfam family "Bacterial small subunit ribosomal RNA", at positions 28 to 507 of the family's 1533-position model. The record is from RNAcentral.